AGACCCGAAACCCGGUGAUCUAGCCAUGGGCAGGUUGAAGGUUGGGUAACACUAACUGGAGGACCGAACCGACUAAUGUUGAAAAAUUAGCGGAUGACCUGUGGCUGGGGGUGAAAGGCCAAUCAAACCGGGAGAUAGCUGGUUCUCCCCGAAAGCUAUUUAGGUAGCGCCUCGUGAAUUCAUCUCCGGGGGUAGAGCACUGUUUCGGCUAGGGGGCCAUCCCGGCUUACCAACCCGAUGCAAACUGCGAAUACCGGAGAAUGUUAUCACGGGAGACACACGGCGGGUGCUAACGUCCGUCGUGAAGAGGGAAACAACCCAGACCGCCAGCUAAGGUCCCAAAGUCAUGGUUAAGUGGGAAACGAUGUGGGAAGGCCCAGACAGCCAGGAUGUUGGCUUAGAAGCAGCCAUCAUUUAAAGAAAGCGUAAUAGCUCACUGGUCGAGUCGGCCUGCGCGGAAGAUGUAACGGGGCUAAACCAUGCACCGAAGCUGCGGCAGCGAACGUAUCACCCAAGACAACUUUACGGAGUUGACGAUUGACGGAGCGAAGCGACGUCAAAGCGUUCAUUAAAGUCGAGUUGGCUUAGGGAUACGUUCGUUGGGUAGGGGAGCGUUCUGUAAGCCUGCGAAGGUGGCCUGUGAGGGUUGCUGGAGGUAUCAGAAGUGCGAAUGCUGACAUAAGUAAC
Molecule: ribosomal RNA, 687 nt
Filed under: Salmonella enterica subsp. enterica serovar Carno
Lineage: Bacteria; Pseudomonadati; Pseudomonadota; Gammaproteobacteria; Enterobacterales; Enterobacteriaceae
Description: partial 23S ribosomal RNA
Rfam family: Bacterial large subunit ribosomal RNA
Source: RNAcentral